UUUUUUUUUGCUUUUUUUGUUUUAUUUUUCUCCUUUAUUUUUGCCCCAACUUCUAUUUUUUGAGGGCAUGGACCUUUGAUAAUUCUUUUCUUCUUUUUUUUUUGAUUUUUUUUCUUUAUCUUUUUUUUCAUUUUUCAUUUUUCGUUUUCUGACUCUAAACUUUAUUCCAAAAGAGGGUAGUCAAAGAAAAUAACACAGGCUCAAAAGGGGUAACAAGGAUAUAAAGUGUUUGGAUAUAAGAAAAAAGGGCCUCCCAGCCUCGAGAACGCCAAACGUAGUAUCCUUUCGUAAUCACGACAUUGAUGAACAUGUCUGUCUUGUUGGUGUUUCGUGGUCACAAGACACUUUCCAUCCAUUAACGUCAAACUUUGUAACAAUCUUCAAUUGAUUCUUCCUCAAGACCGAUCUUCGCAAUGAUUCAAAGGUGACUUUUACUCGACCUUAAUUACCAAGUAUUUCAACUCUAUAUUCAUCCACAAAAGUUCUUCUUUUUCUUUCAGUUAUCCAAUUCCACACUAAAUCGAUUUCUAAGAUCUGGCCAAAAUUUCCGCAUGCAUGUCAAGUUAUUGAAACUAGCACGAAAAGAACUAAGAACAAAAUGACAUAAAAGGAAAAACUGUAUUUUAUUGAGUAAAGGAUGAAAGGGUUUGACAACAAGACAAACAACCUAAGAUCCGAGUUACGAACCUAAAAUAACCCGGAUAAUAAAAGUAGCAACAAAAUAGACAGACAUGACUCAUACAAACAAGAUAGAAGGGUUUGACGCAAUAAAACAAAAUAAAAUCUGGAUCACAACCAUGAAAUUACCCAAAUAAUAGAAAAAACAUCAAAACAAGCAACCAAGAUUCCUUCCUAGUUAGGAGAGAAUGACUUUUCAAUUGCUAAGCUUGACAUUUAGCCUCAAAAUUGCUCAUCAGAAUCUUCAUGGUCUUCUUCAAUUUCAGUCGACAAGUUUCCGAGAGGACUCUCAUACUCCAUUUCACCAGGCGUCAUCCCCACAAAGUGUGCAUCAUCAUAUGCAGGUAAAGGAUUCUGUGUGAUAUUCUGAGGGUCGCUGUCUUGGAUCACAAUCAGGUUUUCUUGGAUUAUCCUUUCUAUUUCUCUUUUCAAAUCCCGGCAACUUUCAAUAUUGUGCCCUUGGGCAUUAGAAUGGUAUUCACACCUUUUGGAAGGGUCAAAACUUCUUGCACGUGGGUCCACAUGAUUUGGAGGAUGGGUACAACAUGUCAUGAUGCUUUAACUUCUCAAAUAAGCUUGCAUAGGACUCUCCUAUUGGAAUAAAAUUAUCCUUCAACCUUUGUUCCCUUCUAUACCCCUGGCUUGGAUAUGGCUCAUAAGGCACUUGAACAUUUUGUGGAGGCUGGUAGAGAUUUUGCACUGCUCGUGCUCGCCUUCUAGGGUGUCUUGGUGUCUGGGCAUCAUAUUGAGGUGCAACAACAAAGUAUUGAGGGUUCUGAGGUAGAUAAUAUUGCUCAGGGGAGUCAUGGAAAACCUGAGGAGGCUGAUCAUACCUUCAAGACGUUUUCGUGGGACCUCUUCUCGACCCUGGCAUCAUCAUGAUUUUUUUAACCUUCUCAUUCAGCCAAUAAAAUUACCAAAAUUAUCUGAUUCAAUCUGGUCAACUUGAGUUGCAGCUUUGAGGAACUUCUUGACUUAUAAUUUUUCCUGUCUUAACACCAUAUCAACCGUUUCCCCAAUUUUGAUUACUUUCGAGAAGGAUUUACCCACAACGGAUAUCAUGUUUUAAAAAUAAUUCGGCUCUUGAGCCUGAAGAAAGACAGUGAUGAGCUCAUGGUCAUCCAUGGGUGGCUUAACUCUAGCUACUUGUUUUCUCCGUUUAAUAGCAUAUUGCCUGAAACUUUCACUUGGUUUCUUAUUCAGGUUUGAAAGGGAAUUGCGGUCUGGGAAAAUGUCAAUGUUGUAUUGGAACUGUUUGACAAAGGCCUGUGACAUGUCAUCCCAGACGUACCAGCGAGAUGUUUCUUGAUCCAAAACUCAUUCGGAUGCUACUCCCAUGAGGCUUUCCCUAAAACAAGCUAUGAGCAAUUUUUCAUUUCUUCAUGCACCUCUUAGCUAAUUGCAAUACCUUUUCAGGUGGGCUAUUGGGUCUCUAUGUCCAUAAUACUUUAUAAGUUUGGGAGUCUUGAAACCAGGCAGCAAGUGGACAUCGGGGAACAUACAUAGAUCUUUGAAGGCAACACUCUUUUGACCUGCCAACCCUUGCAUGUUUUUCAACCGUUUUUCUAAGCUUUUCACUCUUUGGGUCAUUUCUUCUUGUAACAUCUUUUGGGCAGGCUUCUCAAUGUUAACAGGAAGAUCAAACAAGCACGAGUAGUAUUAAGGAGAGUAGUACUGCUCUUGCUGUGCAGCAGAUUGUGACUUACUACAAGGUUCUCCUUGGCCAUUGACCCAUGCUUGACACAUUUUGAUCAUUUGCUAUUUCAGUAUUUUAUUUUCCUCAACCAUAGUAGACUCUUGUUAAACCCUCUGACCCUGAGUCUCUCGAGCACUUGUAAGAGCUUCGAUGUCAGUUAUCAUUUUUCCUUGAAUCUUGUGUUGUCUGCUUACCAAAAACUGACCACCUUAAACUUGCUUCACAAUUCAAAAUAACAGACAUGUUAGCAUGGAUUCAGUUAGUCUUUAUUAUAAUCAACAUUUUUCUUUUUUGUUUUUUAUUUUUUUCAUUUUUCGCAUUUUUCUUUUCCAUGAUUGAUCAAACCUGAUGUGGGUUGCCUACAUACCAUGACGCCGCAUGAACCAGAUCUUGCGUAGUUCGGGAAGAUUAGGAAUAGAGAAAAUAAACUAAAUUUAUGUUUUUCUAGAUUUCAAAUUUUCUCCAUUUUUUUCACUUUUUUUUUCAAAAGAAAGACUUAUAAAGAAGAAAGAGAAUAUUUUUAGAUUUUGACUUUUCUUCAGCACUUUUGCAAAGAAAGACUUCUAAAGAAAAAAAAAUUCCUUUUUUUUUCCGUCUUUUAUUGCUUUUUUGGAAUUUCAAAAGAAAAACUUCGAAAGAAGAAAGAAAAAUAUUUUUGCAUUUAUAGAUUUUUAUUCUGAAGUUAGGAAAAAAAUACUUCUAAAGAAAAAGAAAGUAUUUUUGAAUCUUGAAUUUUCUUUUCAAUUUUCGAAAGAAGAAUGAAAAUAUUUUUGAAUUUUUAGAUUUUCUUUUUCAAAAUUUUGAAAGAAAAACAUCUAAUAAAGAAGAAAUAAAAAUAUUUUUACAUUUAUGUUUAUUCUGAAGUUAGGAAAGUAGUACUUCUAAGAAAAAGAAAAUAUUUUUGAAUCUUGAAUUUUCUUUUCAAUUUUCGAAACAACAACAACAACAACAACCCCGUAUAAUCUCACUUAGUGGGGUUUGGGGAGGGUAGUAUGUACGUAGACCUUACCCCUACCCUUGGGGAGAGAAUGAAAAUAUUUUUGAAUUUUUAGAUUUUGUUUUUCAAAAUUUUGAAAGAAAAACUUCUAAAGAAGAAAGAAAUACUUCUAAAUAAAAGAAAAGAUAUUUUUGAAUCACACGAAGUGCACCCUUCUCUAUGAUGUAGAAGAUUCAGAGAGUGGAAGGGCAUCGUACCAGUUUAUAUAUAUACAAUUCACCAAAUAUCAAAUCGGUAAAGCAUUUAGCACAUUUGGCAUGAACACAUGUAGGAAAAUCAGAUAAGAGAUAAAGCCAAUCAUAACAGCUAUUCUGAGCUCGAGUUCUUGAACCCUGAACUGAAGUUCCGGGUUCUGUCCCCAAUAGAGUCGCCAGAGCUGUCACAUCUCCUUUUUUACACACCCACCCCGAAGGGUAGUGUAUAAGGAAAUUUUUCUAAUUUAAGUGACAUUAUUCAAAAUGGGAUUAUCUAAUUUUUUCAGAGUCGCCAAUUGGGAUAGUUUAUUUUCUGGUGUCCCAAGUCACCGGUUUAUUUUAAAAUUCUAAAUCGAGGAAAAGUCGACUUUUCUUUUAAAGUCUGCGAACCAGAAAUUCUGAAUGAAUUCUAUUAACCCGGGGGAAGGUGUUAGCACCCUCAGAUUCCGUAGUUCUAGCACGGUCGCUUAAACUAUCAUAAUUGGCCUAUUAUCUGAUUUAAAUACAUUUCGUAGCCUUAUGGUAUAUUUUAACUUAUUAAAUCACAUUUUAAAUUAUUUUUAGGAAGAUUCAAUGUCAUCUAAAAUAUGUCUUGAACCACAUCACAUGAAAUACACCCACAGUCUACAACACAUUUUAUCUAACGUUGUUUGGAUUUGGGUCACACGAAAUGCAUACCCGAGUUUAGGAAAGUAAUUUUUUAAUAGUGCGGCUAAAGUAACUUCACACUUUAAUUAUUUUCUUAAUUUUUGAGAUUAUUAUGAUGCCAAAUUUAUGAAUAAGACAUUAUUGAGGCUAAUAGGCUAGCUAACUUGAUCUAUUACUUGGCUAGAAACAUUAUGGUCCCAAAAUCACCUUAUGGCCCAUUCGUAUUCCUUGCCAAGAAAGAAACAAGUCCAAAAUUUUCGUUUACCCAAUUAAAAGUACUUAUGUAAGAACAAAGACUACAUACAUCACAAUCAAAAUACAGCUAACUAACAAUUUAAAUGAAAACUAAGACAUACUACUUAAACAAUGUAAAAUCUCAAAUCAACCCACACGUGCACCAAGCUAUCAUAAAAUAAUAAAGUGAGAAUGAAAAUUGAGAAAUGAACCUUUUAUUGAUGAACAAAGUUGAAAACUGAAAGUCAAUCGGGCUAAACAAAGUAACAAUCCUUGGACUGAAACACCAAAAUUACAAAUCGGAACCUCAACUCGACACAGAAAUCAACCUCAGCGCGCGACUGAACACUGACGCCAAACCUCAAACUCCACCAUCUUUACCCAUAUGUUUUCCUUCCAUUUUGGCUGAUUCCAAAAAUCAACUCCAACACUACAAUUUUUCUGAUGGAUUUGAAUCUAAAAUUGAAUUAAAGUUUCUGUCCAAAUUCUAUUUCCUCCAUCCUUGUGUGCGUGUUGUUUGUUUUUUAGUUUUUUGUGUUUGUAUUUCUUCACUAAUGCCUGGAAUAAGUGAUAUUACUAUGUAAUUCAAUGGUUCAAGUGAACCUAAGACCUGACUAUUUGUUGCUUCACUAGGCUCGGCCAAACUUAAAUUGGAAAUGCCUCAUAAAUUAGCAUAUUUUAUUUCAUAAAGGGACGAUACUAAUUCCUCACAAAUGCCUUGAGGCAUGACAAAAUUUCUUCACCUAUAGAGUUACGGAGAGAGAUCGUUGAGUGAGGGUGGGAUACUUUUGCUAGGUUCGAAGAUUUUCUACUAUUCUGCCGUUUUUUGUGUCUUAGCUAGGUCUAGGAAUUGAAACUUAGGAUACAGUCUCUAUAAUUAGGUAUUUUAUAUGGAGGUGGGAAGUGAUGAUUACCAUUAGAUUAGAAGGAAAUUGAUGGUUAGGAUUAAAUCUUGCACUUAAGUGGGCAAAUGAGUUGUGAAGAAUGAACUAAGAGUAAUUGGAUUGGAGUGUUGGACUAUGUCUUUUGGGUUUGAACUUGGGUUAAAGAGACCAAAUAAUACAAUGAAUCUAUAAAAAUUUAGGGAUCAUUCUAAGUUAAAACAAGGGACUUUUACAUAUAUAUACCAUAUAACAAACCUUAUUACCAAAAUUGUGUAUGAUUUGGUAUUUACCCGCCUAUACCAUGUUUUGUUUACAAAAAUUGUACCAAACCAAAAAUAGAUAGAUUCUACCAUAAAAAGGCUACAAAUUUGUAGGAAUCACAUUUAAUGGUGAUUCUAUCACCAUUAAUUUCGAAAUUUAUGUAAAAAUCUGGAUUUAAUGGUGCUAUCACCAUAUUAAAAUGUGAUUACCCUGUUUAAGGACUUAUUACUGCUACUAAGGUACUGUUUUUCUUUUUCCGGACAUGUAAUUCUCCUUUUGAUUCAAUGAGAACAUGCUUAUAAUGCUAAGACAAUGAUAAUGAAUGUGUUUCUCUGUGGGAUUUAACACAUACUUCUGGAUUUAAUGGUAAACAAUAGCAUACGCAUCGUUAUAUAUAUGAUUACCAUUAAAUGUAAAAAUCUGGAUUUAAUGGUAAACAAUAGCAUACACAUCGUUAUAUUUAUGUAAAAGUUUGUAGGAAUCACAUUUAAUGGUGAUUCUAUCACCAUUAAUUUCGAAAUUAAAAACGGAAGAAAAUCUAUUGCAGCGUAAUUCUCUCCUUCUCCAUAUAUUUUCCACCAUUAAUAGCCAUAAAAAAGCUUGAAAACUUUGAAUUCAAAUUUGGAUUUUCAAAAAUCAUUAUUUGUUUGGAUUGGNNNNNNNNNNNNNNNNNNNNNNNNNNNNNNNNNNNNNNNNNNNNNNNNNNNNNNNNNNNNNNNNNNNNNNNNNNNNNNNNNNNNNNNNNNNNNNNNNNNNNNNNNNNNNNNNNNNNNNNNNNNNNNNNNNNNNNNNNNNNNNNNNNNNNNNNNNNNNNNNNNNNNNNNNNNNNNNNNNNNNNNNNNNNNNNNNNNNNNNNNNNNNNNNNNNNNNNNNNNNNNNNNNNNNNNNNNNNNNNNNNNNNNNNNNNNNAGAUAAGUUGUAGAUAAAUUGUAGAUUGGGAAGAUAUGUUUAGGAGUUUAUAUCUCAAUUUUGAGGGGUUUUGGUGAAGAUUAGACUUGGUUUUUACUGAUUUUUAGAUUGAAACUCGUCGAAGAAGAAGAAGAUAUAUUUUUCCAGAAAUUAUAGUUCAAUUGUAGAAUUGUAGAUAAAUUGUAGAUAAGUUGUAGAUAAAUUGUAGAUUGGGAAGAUAUGAACUUUUACAAGUCUUUACAAUUAUGUCGAAAACGCCAAUUAUGCUACAAUUAAAAAUCCCUUGGAUUGGGUGUUGUUGUAAUUAAUUAGAAAUAUGUUUAGGAGUUUAUAUCUCAAUUUUGAGGGAUUUCGGUGAAGAUUAGACUUGGUUUUGACUGAAUUUCAGAUUGAGACUCGUCGAAGAAGAAGAAGACAUAUUUUUCCAGAAAUUAUAGUUAAAUUGUAGUUAAAUUGUAGAAUUGUAUAUAAAAUAUAGAUAAUUUGUAGAUAAUUUGUAAAUUUAGUUAAAUUGUACUGUUACAUUUAUACUACAAUUAAACUACAAUAUUGUGUCAAAAAAAUUUUAGCAUACCAAAUUUAAUCUAUUCUUAAUAUUCAAAAUUUCAAUUUUGAAAAAAUCUUCUUUAAAUACAAUACUUGGAGAAGUAUUGUAUGAGUUUGAAGUGUAUGAGUUUCUACAACGCCUUCAAUUUGAUUUCUAUAANNNNNNNNNNNNNNNNNNNNNNNNNNNNNNNNNNNNNNNNNNNNNNNNNNNNNNNNNNNNNNNNNNNNNNNNNNNNNNNNNNNNNNNNNNNNNNNNNNNNNNNNNNNNNNNNNNNNNNNNNNNNNNNNNNNNNNNNNNNNNNNNNNNNNNNNNNNNNNNNNNNNNNNNNNNNNNNNNNNNNNNNNNNNNNNNNNNNNNNNNNNNNNNNNNNNNNNNNNNNNNNNNNNNNNNNNNNNNNNNNNNNNNUCUUAAUAUUCAAAAUUUCAAUUUUGAAAAAAUCUUCUUUAAAUACAAUACUUGAAGAAGUAUUGUAUGAGUUUGAAGUGUAUGAGUUUCUACAACGCAUUUAAUUUUAUUUCUAUAAUAACAAUUGGAUUCUUAGUCACAUAUUUAUAAAUAUUUAUUAAAUUAAGUUUUAUUAAAUUAAGUUGCCAUGUGUAUUUUUAAUAGUUUGCCAAUUGGCUUAAUCUGUUUUCAAAGGUAUAGAGAAAUAGGUUCACAUAGUUUUUUUUAUAGUUCAGUGCGCUAUUUCAAUGUUUCCAGUUUUGAACUCGUGAAGUCAUUUGAGUGAAUAAAUUUAGUUUGAAUGGCAUACUGAGUAGUGUUAAUGCAUAAUACUAGUUUGAAUGAAUUUUAAAAUCGUUGGUUUGUUCUGAAUUGGGGUUGUUAACUUGUUCAUAUAUAGUGCUAAAGGAAGUCUAGUAGGUUGGGGAGGGGAGUGAUUUUUACAUGGGAUUUUUAAAGAGAAGAGGAGGAAAAAAAGGAAAGGAAUAUAUGCUCCUAAAAUCAUGCCUAGAAUAAAUAAAGCAAUAAUUAUACCCUUAAUUUGAAUUAUGGUACAUAAAUUGAAAUUUGAUAUGCUUAAAUGUAAUAAAUACAAACCUUGUGGGUAAUAAGGUUUGCUAUAUGGUAUAGAUAGGUAAAAAUCCCUUAAAAUAAACUAGUAUAAAACUAAAUACUACGAUUGAAACUAUUAUUUUUUUAUAUUUUCAAAUAUUAUAAAUCUACAAAUAUAAAUAUCUUACUUGAUUUUAACUUAAAGAUAAAAAUAUUUAUUAUUUUAUUUGUAAUUUUUAUUUUUUGUGAUAAAAUAAAGUAAAAAAAGUCAAAAUUAGUUGAAAUAUCGUAUUAGUCUUAAACUAACUAUUUAUAUACUAAAAUAUAUAAAAUCUUGGGGAGGAUAAAAAAUCACAUGUCUACGAUCAUCGAUAUAAACUUUCAUUGUUUUGCCUAUUUGUUCUUCGAACAUUUUGUUAACUAGGUAUUGGUAUGUAGCUCAUAAGAUUCUUUAGCCCGAAGGGCAUUAUGUUGUAACAAUAAGUUCCAAACUUAGUAAUAAAUAAAGUCUUUUCCUGGUCCUCGGGGCUCAUCUGAAUCUAAUUUUACCUGGAGUAGGCAUUGAGAAAAUUUAGGUUCUCGUUGCCAGUCGUAGCAUCGAUUGUACGAUCGAUGUUUUGCAAAGGGAAGUUUUGGACAUGUUUUAUUCAAGUCCUUAUAAUCUAUGCACAUUCUAGGUUUGUUUCCUUUUUUAGGAACUACAAGUAUGUUGUCUAACCACUUGGGGUACUUUAUCUACCGAAUAGAUCCUAUUUUAAGAAGUUUGGUUACCUCGUCUUUUGUGAAAGCAUGCUUUACCUCGGACUGAGGGCUCCUUUUUUGCUUCACCGGUUUGAACCUGGGAUCGGUGCUUAGCCGAUGCGUGGUGAUUUCCGGCGGAAUCCCUUUCAUAUGUAAAUGAGACCAAGCAAAGCAAUCCAUAUUAUCAAUAAGAAAUUAAAUGAGUUUUUUCCUGAGUUUGGGGGUCAAUCUCGUUCCCAGGUAUACCUUUCUCUCGAGCAUGUAUUCGAUCAAAAUGACUUGCUCCAGCUCCUUAAUAGUUGAUUUGGUUGCAUUGGAUUCUUCGAGAACGACAGAGGUUCGAGGAGUAAGGAAAGCCUUAUCUUCGUCUUCAAGUACAUGUAGUUCUGACUCCAUUAAGGCUGGAGGUGGUGAUUGCUAUUUGGCCGCCUACUUACCUUUGGUGCUCGAUUUCUCCGAGGUCUAAGGCUCUGGUAUUGGCACCACUUUUUCGAUUGCAAACAUUUCUUUUGUAGCAUGUUGCUCUCCGUAGAUUGUUUCACUCCUUUUUUCUAUUGGGAAUUUCAUUAUUUGGUGAAGAGUUGAAGGCACCCUCAUGCUGUGUAUCCACGGUCUCUCACGGAGUGCGUUGUACUUUAUGUGACCUUCGAUGACAUGGAAUAUAGUGUCUUGUAUGGUCCCAGCUACAUUUUCUAGCAAUAUAAUUUCUCCCUUUGUUGAUUCACUUGCCAUGUUGAAGCCAUUUAGGACCCGUGAUGCAAGUACAAUCUGAUCUUAUAGGGCGAGUUAUUUCACGACCCUAGAUUUGAUUAUGUUUGCUGAGCUACCUGGACUACUAAAACACGUUUAACUUGAAUUUUAUUGAAAAUAUAGAUUACCCGGGCAUCGUUAUGAGGCUGAGAUACGCCUUCUACUUCCUCAUCACAUAAUGAUAAGACGUCCUCAAGCACAUAACUCCGAGUCUAUUUUACUCUGAUGAUACUGGUGCAUUUGAAUACAUGCCAUUAAGGCACAUCGACUCCACCAAUGAUCAUGUGGAUCACAUGUUGUGGUUUUUCUUGCUUUCCUUGCAUCUCUCUCCCUAAUGUGAUUAUUAGCUCGAUCACUUAGGAAUUUCAAAGGUAACCCUCGUUGAGUAGCCGAGCCACCUCUUCCCUUAACUAUCUGCAAUCUUCUGUUCUAUGACCAUGUGUGCCAUGAUACUUGCACAUAAAGUUCGGGUUUCUUUAAGAAGGAUCUGUUUGUGUUGUCUUAGGUCACUUGGUUUCACGACCCCAACCCCGGCCAUGAUGGCGCCCAACACAUUGCUAGGGGAGCUCGACUUAUCAAUCACAACCCUUCUCAUACGGGGUUCAUUACCGACUAACAGAGUUUAAUUGCAAAAUUAUCAUAAAUAGAACCUGAUACAAUAGAUAAAAUGUGAAAAAAUCAUAAUAACACCACUACAUAGCCCACCGAUCUGGUGUCAUAAGUCAAGAGCCUCGAUUACAAGUCUUUAAAAUAGCCUAAAAUAGAGAUAGUUUAGAAAUACUAAAAGUAAAGAAAAUAGAAGGUGGAAUCGGGUUUGCAGACGCCAUACAGCUACCUUGAUGACUCUGGUGAAAGAUGAACAGCAUGAAAGAUCUCUCUAUGCCACGGGAGCACCUGAAUCUGCACACAAUGUGCAGGGAGUAAUGCGAGUACUCAGACUCAGUGAGUAAUGAAUAUAAAUAAUGACUGAAAGCAUGAAAGCACGUAAAGGCACAAAGCAAUUCUAUGUCAAAGCAGUAAAAUCACUUAUGUAGUAAACCAGCGAAGAAGUCGAAUGAAAUCUCUCCAAAUCAGGUAAAGCAGGUAGUUUAAUAGGUAAUAAUUAGUAGAAAUCCGCCCCUCAGGCUCAUUCUCAUCACGUAGCACUUAGUCUCACCACUCGACUCAUAUACUCUCAUAGUAGCAGGAAUCAGAAUAACCAUCCAUACAUCGGUGCGACAUGCAACCCGAUCUAUAUAGAUAGACGACUGCGCUCAUUGGGGGUGUGCAAACUUUGGAGGGGCUCCUACAGCCCAAGCGCUACAUUGUUGUGGCGCGCAGCCCAUCCACAUAAACAUUUGAUGCGGCAUGCAGCCCGAUCCAUGCAACUAUUUAUUGUGGCGUGUAGCUCGAUCCAUAACAUAUAUAACAUCCUCACUAUUGGGUUCUCAACCCCUCUCAGUCAUUAUAAUUAUAGCCUCUCAGGCACAAUAAUAUAAGUUAGGGAUCUAGAUCCACAUAUUUCUUUCAUUUAGGAUUCACAUUUCUAAUACUGGUUUAUAUUGUUUAAACAAUUAGAAACAUGUCCGAGGAUAUGAUUUAUAACAAGUAAGGAUUGGAAAUCAGUCAAAAUGCCCCUAAGGGUUCUACAGGUCGGCACAAGGUGCCAAACAUGGCAACUAGCCCAAAUCAUAUCGAUAACAAGUAAGUCUCAGUCAAAUAAAUAGUAAAUUCAUAAAUAGGGACGGACCAAGUCACAAUACCCAAUGGUACUCUACCCCACACUCGCUAUUCGGCAUCAGAGUUACCUCAGUAUAGCACUACAAUGUCAAUUCGGGGUUUAGAACCCUUAGGACAUUGUUUAACAUCAUUACUCACCUUUAACUGGGUAAAUAUCUAGCUCGCUAUGCCUUUGCCUCUCAAAAGCCUCCUCACGCGUCGAAUCUGACUAAAAUCACAACAAAUACGUCACAAUAGGCUAAGGGAACAAAAUCCAAGUGAAAAAAAUUGAAAAAUAUAAAAUAUUCCAAAAUUAGCAAAACCCGAGCUCGGUCCCACUUCUCAAAAUUCAGAAAAUUUCACAUCAACGGUUUCCUUAGCUCGCCGCGAGUCUAUGCACAUAAAGAACACCAAAAUCGGAGUCCAAAUGACCCCUCAAAUCCCAAUUUAAAAUCUCAAAAUCCCAAGCUCUAGUUUUUCCAUUUUGGCUAAAUUCCAAUGAAUUUCUAGAUUAAUUCCACAAAUAAAUCACAUUUUUAGUUCUUAAAACUCACCUCAAAUUGAUCCUCUUCGAAUCCCUCUUCAAUUUCGUCCAAAUAGCUCUUAAAAUGCUCAACAAUGGUGGAAAAAUGACUUAGGCUCGCAGAUGAAAUGUUUUUAAAACUUCUGCCCAGCUAUAGUAAUUUCGUCUAUGCGAUCGUGGCCCCACGCUUGCGAUCGCGAAGAGCAAACUUUCCAAUACUAAAAAAUGGAAUAUGCGAACGGGACCAAACGACUGCGAACGCGAAGGUCCAACUUUCACAACUACACGAACAUGACCCACUCUUUGCGAACACGAAGAAGAACUUACCUGGACUCCAAGGCCUUAUAUGGAGCUUCACCAUCUACCUCUCUGCGAUCGCGAAUGCCCAAACAUGAAUGCAAUAAAUAAAAAUCCUGCCUCCCAAAUUCCUUCUAUGAGAUGGCGAGGGACCUCCUGCGAUCGCGAAGACCAAAAAUCUUCUGCAAUGAUUGCUGCAUUUUCUGCAUUUCCCCAAUAUUCAAAACCUCCUAAUAGCCAUCCGAAAUCAUCCCGAGGCCCCCAUUACCUAAACCAAAAGUACCAACACAUCCUAAAACAUCAUUCAAAUUUUCCCCAAUCAUCAAAACACGUGAAACAACACCAAAACCAUCAAAUUACAUCGAAUUCAAGCCUAAGUUCUUCUAAAAACCGAAACACGCAUUUGAUCAACAAUCCAAUCAAAUCACCUCUAAAUGACAAGAAAUUUUGCACACACAUCCCAAAUCACAUAACAAAGCUGCAACAACUCUCAGAAUUCCAUUCCGACCAUAGAAUCAAAAUUUCACCUAUCAAUCGGAAAUCGCCAAAAUACUAACUUCGCCAAUUCAAGCCUAAUUCUAUAUUGGACCAGAAAAACCACUUCCGAUCUCACUCCUAAGUAAAAAAUCAUCCCCCGAAGCUAAACAAACCAUCGGAAAUCACAUCAGAGCCCUAUAACACAUAAGCCAACAUCCAGUUGACUUUUCCAAACUAAGCUUUUCUUAAAGAGACCUAGUGUCUCAUUUCCUACCAAAAGCUCACCAAACCAACUCGAUCACACAAGACACGGAUAAUGAAGAAUAAAGAAGCAGAAAAAGAAGGGAAACAGAGCAGCAACUCAUGAGACGACGGUCAGGUCGUCACAUCCUCCCCGACUUAAACAAACACUCGUCCUCGAGUAAGUCAAGAAACAUACCUGAAGCCUCAAAUAGGUGAGGGUAUCUGCUUCGUAUCUCCUGCUCGAUCUCCCAGGUAGCCUCCUCAACGGGCCGACCUCUCCAUUGCACCUUCACUGAAGCUACAUCCUUUGAUCUCAAUUUCCGAACCUGACGCUCCAAAAUGGCUGCUGGCUCAACAUCAAAAGUCAAAUCACGCAGGGACGGGUCUCCAAUAUACUUCUAGAGCAUAGAAACAUGAAAAAAUGGAUGCACACUCGACAAGCUGGGGAGCAAGGCAAGCUUAUUGGCCACCUUUCCGAUCCUUCGAAGUACCUCAAAAGUCCCAAUGAAUCGCGGACUCAAUGUCCCCUUCUUUCCGAAUCGCAUAACACCCUUUGUGGGUGAAACCUUCAACAUGACCUUCUGACCAACCAUGUAGGAUACAUCUCGAACCUUCAUGUCCGCAUAACUCUUCUAUCUUGACUGUGCUAUACGAAGUCUCUCCUAAAUUACCUUCGCCUUUAUCUAAAGCAUCCUGAACCAAAUUUGUCCCUAAUAGCCUAGCUUUACCAGGCUCGAACCAACCAAUUGGAGAUCUACAUUCCUCCCAUACAAAGCCUUAUACAUAGGCAUCUGAAUAUUCACUGGUAGUUGUUAUUGUAGGCAAACUCUACAAGCGAUAGAAACCGAUCCCAUGACCCUCCGAAGUCAAUGACACAUGCACGUAGCAUAUCCUCUAGUAUCUGAAUGGUGUGCUCGGACUGCCCGUCCAUCUGAGGGUUAAAAGGCUAUGCUCAACUGUACUUGAGUACCAAACUCUCGCUGAAUAGACUGGCAAAUCUAAGAAGUAAACUGAGUACCCCUAUCUGAGAUGUUGGAAACCAGAACACCAUGCAACCGGACAAUCUCCCGGAUAUUAAUCUCUGCCAGCCGCUCUGAGGAAUAAAUAGUACUGAUAGGAAUGAAGUGCGUGGACUUGGUCAGCCUAUUUACAAUCACCCAAAUAGCAUCGAACUUCUUCAAAGUCUGUGGGAGUCCGGUAACAAAAUCCAUACUGAUCCUCUCCCAUUUCCACUCGGGAAUAACCAUCUACUGAUGCAAGCCACCCGGCAUUUGAUGACUUAUAUUUCACCUGCUGACAUUGAGACACCAGGCUACAAACUCCACAAUAUCUUUCUUCAUCCUCCGCCACCAAUAGUGCUGUCUAAGAUCCUGGUACAUCUUCGCGGCACCGGGAUAAAUGGAAUACCGUGAGCCGUGGGCGUCUUCCAAUAUCAACUCUCGAAGCCUAUCCACAUUGGGCAAGAAAAUCCAACCCUGCAUCCUCAACACACCAUAAUCACCAAUGGUCACAUCUCUUGCAUCAUCAUGUUGAACCAUGUUCGUAAGGACAAGAUAAUGCGGAUCAUCAUACUGGUGCUCUCUAAUGCGAUCAUAUAAGGAAGAUCGAGAAACCACACAAGCCAACACCCCAUUGGGCUCCGAAAUAUCCAAUCUCACAAACCGAUUGGCCAAGGCCUGGACAUCGACUGCAAGGGGUCUCUCCCAAAUUGGAGUGUCUACCAAACUCCCCAUGCUCACUACUUUUCGGCUCAAAGCAUCGGCCACCACAUUGGCCUUUCCCAGAUGGUACAGAAUAGUAAUAUCAUGAUCCUUAAGCAACUCUAACCAUCUCCGCUUCCUCAAAUUAAGAUCCUUAUGCUUGAAUAAAUACUGAAUACUGCGAUGAUCAGUUAAUACCUUACAAGAUAUGCCAUAUAAGUAAUGCCUCCAAAUCUUUAAUGCAUGAACUAUGGCAGCCAAAGGGAUUUUCAUCCAUUGUAUCGCCCUUGACCAAGUUGACUCUCAAGACAGAUUUGACCACAGCUCCAGUAUUGGUUUUUCCAUCAGCUUCAGGUUCAUAUACCAUGUAUUGCGAUGCUUCGAAAGUUGGGAUUGAUUAUGUAUUGAUGUAGGAGGGUAGAGUUAUUGCUUAUGCUUCUCGUCAGUUGAAGACCCAUGAGAAGAUAACCUUCUAACCCAAAAAAUCCAUGAAUCCAUGUGGCUGAGGAUGGUCAAGGCCAACUCUGAACCGCCUCUAUCUUCUUCAGAUUGACCUGAAUACCAUCGCUGGACACCAUGUGUCCCAAGAAAGCCACUGAACUAAGCCAAAACUCACACUUGGAGAACUUUGCAUAAAGCUUCUCCUCCCUCAAUAUUUGCAAUACCACUCGCAAAUGCUUCGUGUGGUCCUCCUGACUACGCGAGUACACCAAAAUAUCAUCAAUGAAAACAAUAACAAACGAAUCCAGAUAAGGCUGAAAUACAUCGUUCAUCAAAUACAUAAAUGUUGUUGGGGCAUUGGUCAUCCCGAAAGACAUGAAAAGAAACUCAUAGUGAUCAUAUCUAUUCCUGAAAGCAGUCUUAAGAAUAUUUGAAUCCCUGAUCUUCAACUGGUGAUAACCCGAACGAAGAUCAAUCUUGGAAAACACCCUCGCUCUUUGAAGUUGGUCGAACAAAUAACCAAUGCGAGGCAGAUGAUACUUGUUCUUAAUUGUUACCUUGUUGAAUUGCCUAUAAUCGAUGCACAUUCUCAUUGUGCAAUCCUUCUUCUUGACAAAUAGAACUGGAGCACCCUAAUGUGAUACACUAGGCCGAAUGAACCCCUUAUCUAGGAGUUCCUGAAGCUACUCCUUCAAUUCUUUCAACUCUGCUGGCACCAUGCAAUAUGGCGGAAUAGAAAUGGGUUGAGUUCCCAGCACCAAGUCAAUACCAAAAUCAAUAUCCUUGUUCCGCGGCAUACGCGGAAGGUCUGCAAGAAAUACAUCAGGGAAGUCCCUUACACUUGGGACAGAUUCAAUGCUGGGAGCCUCAGCCCCAACAUCACUCACAAAGGCAAGAUAUGAGGGACAACCCUUCCCAACUAUACGCUGGGCCUUCAGGAAAAGAAAUCACUCUACUCGGAACAUAAUCAAUCACACCACGACAUUCGAUCCGCGGUACACCAGGCAUAGUCAAAGUGACUAUUUCAGCAUGACAGUCUCGAAUAGCAUGACACAGAGAAAACCAUUCCAUGCCCAAAAUAACAUCAAAGUCCACCAUGCUCAAUAGCAAUAGAUCAAGUUGGGCCUCCAGACCCCAAAUAGUCACAACACAUGAUCGGUACAUACGGUCCACAACAACAGUGUCGCUCACCAGGGUAGACACAUGAACAAGUAAAGCAAGAAACUCACGGGGCACACUCAAAUAGUGAGAAAAAUACGAGGAAACAUAAGAAUAGGUGAAACAUGGAUCAAAUAAUAGAGGCAUCUCGGUGGCAGACCGAAACAAUACCUAUAAUGAUAGCAUCUUAAGCAAUGGCAUCUGUCCUGCCUGGAAUAGCAUAAAAAUGAGCCUUGCCACCGCCUAAUCGACCUUCCCCUUUGGGGCGAUCCUUGGCUGCCUGAUCUCUAAAUCUAGCUGGCUGGGGAGAGAAGGGUGGUGAGGUAACUGGAGCAGAACUCGAGGGCUGACCCCUCUGCUGAUGCUGACUGUCACAGAGUUGAGGACACUGCCUCCUCAUGUGACAAAAAUCUCCGCACUCAUAACAACUAACCGGUGCUGGAGGUGGGUACUGAAGGGAAUCCCUCGCACCCGAGUGACUAGCAGAUGCACUCUGUGCCAAAAAACACUGAGUUGAUGGGGCACGAGAUAAACUCUGAGCUGGGAGGGCGCUGAGUGAAGACUGGCCUGCUGAGGCCUAUGAUGACCACGACCUGAAGAUGCCCAAGAUAAUCUGGACAGGACGACUGGGUAGGCCUAAUAAAAUGACCUUUACCAUGUUGGAACCUGAGCCGUGAAGGGGCACCACUAUUACUACUAGAUCCAUGAGGCCUUUUGGCCUCCUUCUCGUCUCACUCCUGGCAGCAAACUUACUUGAUCUCACGAGCGAUAUCCACCACCUCCUUGAACGUAGCACCCAAUACUCUAUCUCUGGUCAUCAGAAUACGAAGAUAUAGUUAAGGCCACCCACAAAUCUCCUGAUCCUCUCAUGAUCUGACAGAAUCAUCCAGGUGGCAUGACAAGCCAACUCCGAAAACCUCAUCUCGUACUGGGUCAUGGUCAUAUCUCCCUACGUCAACCACUCAAACUGCCUACGCAGCUCCUCUCUGCAUGACUGCAGUACAUACUUCUCCAAGAAGAGAGUUGAGAACUCCAACCAAGUAAGGGGCGUUUCAUCAACUGGCCUACGCCUCUCGUACGCCUCCCACCAAGUGAAGGCGGCCCAGUAAACUAAAAGGUGGUAAAUGCCACACUGCUAGAUUCAAGAAUCCCUACUGUACAGAGCAUCCGGUGACACCUGUAAAGAAAACCCUAGGCAUCCUCGCCCUCAACACCACUACAUGUCGGAGGCUGGAGUCUACCAAGCCUCUCAAGACGAUGUUGCUUAUCCUUCGGCAUAACUGGAACCCUGAACUCUUGCACUAGUGCAACCAGCUGAGAUGGAGGUGCCUCUUGCAUCUAUAGUCCCUGCACUACCUACUCAGGUGUGCAAGCUGUGGGGGUCUGGUUGCAUCCCCCGGCCUGUGAGGUAGCUGCUGCUGUGGUGGCUGAAACUGCCUGAGCCAGGCUAGUACAAACUGUCAAGAUCUGUGUCAAGGUCUCCUAUAGACUUGGAAUCACGAUAGGCACCGCUGGUGCCUGAGCUGGUAAUGAUGUAGCCUGAUCCGGAGCUAGGGCAGCUGGUGGAUCAACAUAUGCUGCCCUCACUACUCUACCUCUGCCACGACCACGACCGCAUCCACGACCUUUGGUGGCCUCAGUGGGUGGAGCUAGUGGUCGUCCACCUCGUUCGGUAGCUCGUGUCCUCACCAUCUAUGAGAGAAGUCGCAGGACAAGAAUUUCAAGAAUAUGAAGUUUUCCUAAAGGUUCUGCACCCUCUCAAGGAUAAAUACAGACGUCUCUCUACUAAACCGGCUCAUGACUUGCGAGACCAAGGUAACCUAGGCUCUGAUACCAACUUGUCACGACCCCAACCCCGGUCGUGAUGGCUCCAACACAUUGCUAGGAAAGCUCGACCAAUUAUCAAUCACAACCCCUCUCUUACAAGGUUCCAUACUGAUUAACAGAGUUUAAAUGCAAAAUUAGCAUAAAUAGAAGCCUAAUACAAUAGAUAAAAUGUGCGGAAAUCAUAAUAACAGCACUACAUAGCCCACCAAUCUGGUGUCACAAGUCAAGAGCCUCUAUUACAAGUCUUUAAAACAGCCUAAAACAGAGAUAGUCUAGAAAUACUUAAAGUAAAGAAAAUAGAAGGAAGAGUCGAGUCUGCAGACGCCAUGCAGCUACCUCGAUGACUCUGGUGAAAGAUGAACAACAUGAAAGCUCUCUCUAUGCCUGGGGAGCACCUUAAUCUACACACAAGGUGUAGGAAGUAAUGUGAGUACUCCGACUCAAUGAGUAAUGAAUACAAAUAAUGACUGAAAGUAUGAAAGCACGUAAAGGCACAAAGCAAUUCUAUAUUGAAGUAGUAAAAUUACUUACGCAGUAAACCAACGAAGAAGUUGAAAGAAACAUCUCCAAAUCGAGUAAAACAGGUAGUUUAAUAGGUAAUAACAAGUAGACAUCCGCCCCUCGGACUCAUUCUCAUCAUUUAGCACUCAAUCUCAACACUCGACUCAUAUUCUCUCAUAGUAACAGGAAUCUAAAUAACCGCUGCGGCAUGCAACCCUAUCCGUACAUCGUUACGGCAUGCACCCCAAUCCAUAUAGAUAGAUGACUACGCUCACUAGGGGUGUACAGAAUCCGGAGGGGCUCCUACAGCCCAAGCGCUAUAUUGUUGUGGCACGCAGCUCGAUCCACAUAAACAUUUGCUGCAGGGUAGCUCGAUCCAUGCAACUAUUUGCUGCGGCGUGCAGCCCGAUCUAUAACAUAUAUAAUAUACUCACUUUUGGGUUCUCAAACCCUCUCAGUCAUUAUAAUUACACCCUCUCGGACACAAUAAUGUAAGGUAGGUAUCUCAGCCCACAUAUUUCUUUCAUUUAGGAUUCGCAUUUCUAAAACCGGUUUAUAUUGUUUAAGCAAUCAGUAACAUGACCGAGGAUAUGAUUUUUAAAAAGUAAGGUGAGGAAAAUCAGUCAAAAUGCCCCUAAGGGUUCUACAGGUCGGCACAAGGCCCCAAACAUGGAAACUAGCUCAAAUCAUAAUGAUAACAAGUAAGUCUCAGUCAAAUAAAUAGUAAAUUCAUCAAUUGGGAUGGACCAAAUCACAAUCCCAACAGUGCUCACGCUCGCUAUGGUGUGCAAGUUAUCUCAAAAUAGCACUACGAUGUGCAAUUCGGGAUUUCAAUCCCUCAGGACAUCAUUAAACAUCAUUACUCACCUCGAACCAAGUAAAGCUCUAGCUCGCUAUGCCUUUGCCUCUCAAAUCGGCCUCCUCGCGCGUCGAAUCUGACCAAAUUCAGAACAAAUACGUCAACAUAGGCUAAGUGAAUAAAACCCAAGCAAAAACAAUCGAAAAAUAUCAAAAAUUCCGAAAUUAGUAAAACCCGAGUCCCGGGAACACUUUUCAAAAUUUAGAAAUUUUUAUAUCAACGGGUUCCUUAGCUCUCUAUGAGUCUAUGCGCAUAAAGAACACAAAAAUCGGAGUCCAAACCCCUCAAAUCCCUAUUUAAAAUCUCAAAAUCCCUAGCCCUAGUUCUUCCAUUUUGGCUAAAUUCCCAUGUAUUUCUAGGUUAAUUCCACAAAUAAAUCAUGUUUCUAGUUCAUAAAACUUAUCUCCAAUCAUUCAUCUUCGAAUCCCUCUUCAAUUUCUCCCAAAUAGCUCUCAAAAUGCUCAACAAUAGUGGAAAAAUGACAUAGGCUUGCGGAUGAAAUGUUUUUAAACCUUCUACCCAGCUACAAUAAUUUCUUCUAUGUGAUUGCGACCCCAGGCUCGCGAUUGCAAAGAGCAAACUUUCCAAGCCUAAAAAAUGGUCUAUGCAAAUGCGACCAAAUGACUCCGAAUGUGAAGGUCCAACUUUCACAACUACGCGAGCACGUCCCACUCUUUGCGAACGUGAAGAAGAACUUACCUGGACUCCAAGGCCUUAUACGCGAACGUGAACUACUAGCUAUGAAUGCGGAGCUUCACCAUCUGACUCUCUGUGAUCGUGAACGCCCAAAUGCGAACACGGUGACUAAAACUCGUACCUCCCAAAUUCCUUCUAUGCGAUCGCGAGGGACCACCCGAGAUUACGAAGACCAAAAAUCUUCUUCAAUGACUACUACAUUUUUUGCAAUUUCCCCAAGACUCAAAACCUCCCGAUAGCCAUCCGAAAUCACCCCGAAGCCCCCGGGACCUCAACCAAAAGUAACAAACCAUCCAUAAACAUCAUUCAAAUUUUCCCAAUCAUCAAAACACCUAAAAAAACACCAAAACCAUCAAAUUACAUCGAAUUCAAGCCUAAGUUCUUCUAAAACUUCCGAAACACGCAUUUGAUAAAAAACCCAACCAAAUUACCUCCGAAUGACCAAACAUUUUGCAGACACAUCCCAAAUCACAUAACUAAGCUAUAACAACUCUUGAAAUUCCAUUACAACCCUCGAAUCAAACUUUUACCUAUCAACCGAAAAUCGCCAAAAUACUAACUUCGCCAAUUCAAGCCUAAUUCUACACUGGACCUGAAAACCCACUUUAGAUCUCACUCCUAAGUCACAAAUCUUCCCACGAAGCUAAUCGAACCAUCGAAAAUCACAUCCAAGCCCUCUAACACAUAAGCCAACAUCCGGUUGAGUUUUCCAAACUAAGCUUUUCUUAAAGAGACCAAGUGUCUCAUUUCCUACCAAAACCUCACCAAACUAACUCGAUCACACAAGUCACAGAUAAUGAAGCAUAAAAAAGCAAAAAAAAUAGGGGAAACGGAGCGAUAAAUCAUGAGACGACGGGUCGAGUUGUCACACUUGGUGUCUUUGAUUCUCCCAAUAGCUGAGACAAUCCCUGAUGCAUCUACUGUGUAUUUGUACUUCGAUAAUUGAGGUGCCUCUGCAAGAUCGACAUGCUUAUCAAAAUUGUUUUUACUCAUGAGUCCGCAAGAAAUUUGACCUUCGCCGUUUCCCUGAUCGUUUCGAGGAGUGUUCCAACCCGAAACGUUGUUCCUUCGAUCGACAUAUGGUUUAUAUCAUUCUUUGGUCGAUCUUGAUUCGGCAUCCGUAUCCCUCAGGGGCUUGGCCACGUAUUUGUUAGGGUGAUUGGAACUCGAGAGGGCUCCCAGUUGGUCAUCCUCGAUCCUAAUUUUUGAUUAGUAACGGUUAUGCACAUUCGACCAUAUCAUACCUGGAUACUCGAUCAACUGCUUCAAUUGCCGAGACGUAAUCGAGCUUCUUUAAUUCAAACCCUACAUGAAAGCUUGUACUUCCCAAUCAUCGGAGACCGGUGGUAAUUCCAUUCUUUCUAUCUAAAACCUGGACAAGAACUCCCUUAACAUAUCGUUGUUCCUUUAUUUUAUUUUGAAGAGGUCCAAUUUUCUCGUGGCCACCUUUAUGGCCCCGAUGUGUGCUUUCACAAAGGAAUAUGCAAACAUAGCAAACGAGUCAAUUGAGUUAGGAGCUAAGUUGUGAUACCAAAUUAUAGCGCCUUUCGACAAUGUUUCUCCAAACUUUUUCAACAAGACCGAUUCGAUCUUAUCAUCAUUCAAAUCAUUCCUUUUGAUCCCGAAAGUGUAUGAAGUAAUAUGCUCAUUGGGGUCAGUUGUACAAUUAUAUUUGGGUAUAUCAGGCAUGAGAAAUAUCUUAGGAAUUGGCAUUAGAGCUGUACUCUGAGGGAAUGGGUUUUUAUGAACUUUUAGCAUCUAAACCUUUUAGCACUGGAGGUUUCCCUAGUACAUGGUCUACACGGGACUUAUAGGUCUCCACCUUUUUUUUCAUUUUCUUCAAUUUUAUUUUUUCCGGACUCGAUACUCUUAUUAAGAUCUUCGAGCAUCCUCAUAAUCGUAGGUUAAGUCCUCGAGACACUAUAAUCGGGCCUUUUACGGCUAGUUCAGUACGCCGAGUGGUUACUGGUUCAACUGUGUUUGGAGUUUUAUUCUGACUCUUAAGUUGAGUGAUGGCAAUUUGUUGAGCUUGCAAUAUCUCGAAUAUCACUUGGAGGCUGACUCCCCCAUCUCUUAUUCCUUAUGUCCUUUGGCCACCAGAUCGAGCUUCCCUGUGUACAUUAUCUUCAAGGUAUGUGCCUAAAUCCACGUUUAGAGCAAUAUCUGAACUAACAUCAAUCGGCUCCAUAUUUGGCACUUCCCCUUGGUUUAUCGGCGGUACACUGACCCCUGCAUUGUUGUUUCCUCCAAGACCUUCAUUGUCAUGUACACGUACAUUUUGUGUGCUAGACAUGUUUCAGUUUGAGAAUAAAAAAAAUCUUGACAAGAAAAAGUCUAAAAACAACAUGUGUAAUGAGAAUCAGUAAAGAAUAAUGAGAAUCAGUAAAGAAAUAAUCACUAUUAUCUAUAGCCCUACGGUGGACGCCAAACUAUUUACCUCGAAAAUAUGAGUAACAAUUAAAUUUGAUUUGUGGUUUUAAAGAUAUGUAUUUAGUUCAAUACUAGUUAAUGAUAAAGAAAUAUGAAGUAGAAAUGAAAGAGACAAGUGAAUUAAACUAGUGUUACUCAACAACAGUUACAUCAAGCUGAGUGACCUCAUAUGGGCUUAGAACAAUAAGAACAAUUAAGUAAGAAAAGUAAAGUAAGAACAAUAGAUCUGAAGGACAAUUUUGAUGAAUAGUAGGCAAAAAAGUAGAGGGUGUUUUCUUUGCUUAAUGAUUAGAUGGUAUUACAAAUAUUUGGGGUCCCCUUUAUAUAAUACGGGAACACUAAAUAAGCACUAUUUCUAUUUACGGUAAGGAAUAUUCUUGGUACAUUUGUAUAAUCGCCUAGUACGAAAUCAUACAAUCUUAUUCUGAGAUUUGCGCCAUGAUCUUGGGGACGUGGCAGGAAUCUAGCUCAUUUAGUUAUAAGUCCAUAACGAUACUAUUUCAGAGUCGAGCAUACUUGGCCUUGAUAUUCCUCGUACUUCUAUCUCCGGGCAUUGCACUCUGUCUUCGAGCUCGAGUCUGAUCCACCGGUCUCGAACUUGACCUUGCUCGGGCUUGGGCCUAAGAAAGACCCUCAAGCCUAUAAAUCGAAGGCGUAGGAUUUUGACCAUAUACAAAUAUUUUAAUGUCUUGUAAACGAAGUAUAAAAGAUUAGUCUAUAAAAUGUAUGAACUUUAUGAAGUAUUAGCCUGGAAAGAAAGGCUCUUAAUGUUCGUUCAUCCGUGUUUUCGUCUUAUUUUGAUACAUUUGCUUGUAUUAACAUAGUAGUUUUUAAAAUCCAAAUGCGCUUUUAGUCGAGGAAAAAUGUUGGGGACACUGGGUAGCCAUUUCAAAAUAAUAAGCGAUAUAUAUAUAUAUAUAUAUAUAUAUAUAUAUAUAUAUAUAUAUAUAUUUUCUCUAAGAUUUNNNNNNNNNNNNNNNNNNNNNNNNNNNNNNNNNNNNNNNNNNNNNNNNNNNNNNNNNNNNNNNNNNNNNNNNNNNNNNNNNNNNNNNNNNNNNNNNNNNNNNNNNNNNNNNNNNNNNNNNNNNNNNNNNNNNNNNNNNNNNNNNNNNNNNNNNNNNNNNNNNNNNNNNNNNNNNNNNNNNNNNNNNNNNNNNNNNNNNNNNNNNNNNNNNNNNNNNNNNNNNNNNNNNNNNNNNNNNNNNNNNNNNNNNNNNNNNNNNNNNNNNNNNNNNNNNNNNNNNNNNNNNNNNNNNNNNNNNNNNNNNNNNNNNNNNNNNNNNNNNNNNNNNNNNNNNNNNNNNNNNNNNNNNNNNNNNNNNNNNNNNNNNNNNNNNNNNNNNNNNNNNNNNNNNNNNNNNNNNNNNNNNNNNNNNNNNNNNNNNNNNNNNNNNNNNNNNNNNNNNNNNNNNNNNNNNAUAUAUAUAUAUACAAAAUUACAAAGUUUAUUUUUUUUUCGAUUAUCAAAUAUAAAUAAUUUCCGGCGCAGGCUAGAAGUGAGAAAGCCCAAAAUUAUAACUAGGAGAAUGAGGAAUCGGCUAUGAUUAUGAAAUAUUAAUAUACUUGUCUAUUUGGAUGAUUGGGUAAAUGGUUGAACCAAGGAAGGAUCAUUGUAGGGAAACUACCAGUUAUUUUCAUUUAUAAGUAGCUUAUUAUAAAAAUUGACCAAUUUAAAAAAUAUUAUUAAUAUUAGCCUAUUAGCUAUUUGUAACCAAAAAAGGCCAAAUAUUUAUUUUCUUUUGAGGGGGUAUUAUUAGAAUAGAUUGAGUACAUAUUAAUGAGCUUGAAUAUCAGCUUUGUAAUGAUUUGGUGAAGUUUUGAGGUGGUUUGAUUUGUGAAUUGAAAAUUUGAAGUAGAAGAUGAACAUGAAAAAAAUGAUAUGUAUCAUAUUGUGUAUCAUUUGUGCAUCACAUAUGUGUCAUUUGUAUUAAAUGUGUAUCACAUGCGUACCUGUGUGUGAGAUACAUGCGUGAUACAUAUUUGAUAUUGUGUUGCCGAAGAAUUUUUUGAACUCAAUUUUAACUACGAAAUUUGAUACCAAAUCAGUCCAAAUCACCUCUAAUCUUUCUCAAAUUUUUUUAUAUUGACCCAUCUAUAUGCGUGAUGAUCCAAAAAGUCAUUACUUAUUUUUAAAUUUAAUUUUGUAUUUUCGAGGGCUUGAAAACCUCUUUUACCCUCGUCUCGAUUUGUGUGGGCAGUCUGGGCACGUAACCGAAAAGCUUAAAUAUAAAAAUCUGUAAAGAAAAUGGUAAAAUUUGGUUAUAAAAUGAGUUAUUUUGACUUCGGUUAAUGUUUUGGGUAAAUAUACCUAGACCUGUGAUUUGACGGUCCCGGAGGGUUCGUAAGAAAAUAUGGGACUUAGGCGUAUGCCCGGAAUCGAAUUCCGAUAUCCCAAGCCUGAGAAAUAAUUUUUUAAAGAAAAUUAUUUUCUGAAAUUGUUUAAGGAUUUUGCUUCCAGCGCUUGGUACAGGUCUUAUAGAGGAUUUAAGGUAUUUCUGUAAAAUUUAGUGAAAACGGACAUCGUUUGAUGUGAUUCGGACCUAAACUGCUAAAGUUGAUACUUGAUGAAGUUUGAGAAAAAUUAUUUGAUUUUGAGAUUUAAUUCGUUGUUAUUGAGAUUAUUUUGGUAAUUCGAUCGCACGGAUAAGUUCGUAUGAUGUUUUUAAGUUAGUACGUCUGUUUGAUUAGGAGCCCCGAGGGCUCAGGUGUGUUUCAGAAUGUUUUGGACUUAAGAAACGUUGCAGAAUUUGUUGUCUGCUGGUGUCCAGAUAUUUUGUUCGAUGUGAUCUCAUAGCUAAGUCCACGAUCGCAUAGUGUAAUUUUCAGGGAUUCUAUUUUGUGGUACACGAUGGCAUACUUCCUUCCGCGAUCGCGUAGAGUUAAACUUGAGAGGUCCAUUUAUAUUCUACGCGAUCGCACUGUCUCCUUUGCGAUCGCAAUAUGUUAGCCCUACCCCCCACACCCAAGCCUUUUUUUCUUUUAUGCAAUCUCAUAGUAUUGUACGCGAUCACAGUGCUCAGCCUCAUUUACUCUAUCCGAUCGCAUCCCAUUGUCCGCAAUCGCGUAGGCCAAAUCUUCUCAGUAAUUUUUAAAAGUAUAGAAAAGUAGCUAUACGGGAUUUUCAUAAAAUUUCAUAACUUCUUCUUCUCCACACCUCUUGGGGCGAUUUUUGAAGGGUUUCUUCACCAUAAUCUCUUAGGUAAGAAAUGUUUAACUCAUUUUCUUCAAUUUCCAUUGACACCCAUUAGAUUUGUAGGCUUGAAACAUGUGAUUAAGGGUAGAAAAUUGGAAAUUUUGGUAGAGUUAGGGCUUUUUGAUUAUUUGAGAAUUUGACCUCGUUUUGGGGACGGAUUUCACAAAAAAUUAUAUAUACGGGCUCGUGGGCGAUCGGAUUCUUUGUGUUAGGUGUUGUAACGAGUUGGGUAUAGCUGAGGUAGUUAGGUAUUAUAACGAGUUUGAUUAUAGUUAAGGUAGUUAGAUAUUGUAACAAGUUUGGUUAUAGUUAUUUCUCCCUUGUCGGGAUGUUUGUUGAUAUUAUUGUUCCGUUAUCGGAAUUCCUUGUUAUUGUUAGCUUGUAAAUGGGAGUGGGUGGUACGCCUACCACAAGAUUUGAUAAAAUGGGAGCGGUUGACAUGCCUGCCACGAGAUCUAAUAAAAAUGGGAGCGGGUGGUACACCUACCACAAGAUAUAAUAAAAUGGGAGCGGGUGGUACGCCUACCCCAAGAUAAAAUGAAAUAGGAGCGGGUGGCACUCCUGCUUCGAGAUACAUGAAAUAGGAGCGGGUGGCAAGCCUGCCACGAGAUACAGGAAGUGGGAUCGGGUUGCACACAUGUAACAAGAUAUGAAAAGAAAGUAAAAUCUGCCUUUAUUUUCCUUAUUUUUACAAGAUAUGAUAAAAUGGGAGCGGUUGACAUGCCUGCCACGAGAUCUAAUAAAAAUGGGAGCGGGUGGUACACCUACCACAAGAUAUAAUAAAAUGGGAGCGGGUGGUACGCCUACCCCAAGAUAAAAUGAAAUAGGAGCGGGUGGCACUCCUGCUUCGAGAUACAUGAAAUAGGAGCGGGUGGCAAGCCUGCCACGAGAUACAGGAAGUGGGAUCGGGUUGCACACAUGUAACAAGAUAUGAAAAGAAAGUAAAAUCUGCCUUUAUUUUCCUUAUUUUUGCUAGUGGUUGGAUUUUGAUUCCUUUAUAGUUCUCUUGAUAUUCUGUUUUUACCUGUUAUUUCCUUAAGCAUGUUUUCUCCUCCCAUCCUUACUUUCUUAUACCUUCUUUACUUUCUGUUGUAUAUUAUAUAACUGCACAGGUUUAUUUGAUAGUUUGGUCCUAGCCUCGUCACUACUUCGCCGAGGUUAGGCUACGCACUUACCAGCAUAUGCGGUCGGUUAUGCUGAUACUAAACUCUAUACUCUUUUAUGUUGACCCCAGUAGUUAGACUUCGGACCGCGGUGGGAUUGCUGAUUCUAGCUCAUCAAGCGACGCGAGGUAGUCCUGCAGACAUCCGCAGGCUUUGGCGUCUUCUUCUAUCUACUAAUCCUGUUUCUUUCAUACAUUUUCAGAGAUAAUGUUGUAUUUAUUUCUUUCACACCUUUGUAUUAUUCUUAGACCGUCUGCGAAACUAUGACACCAGUUCUGGAUAGUUGAGAAUCAAACAAUUGUAUUUGAUAUUCAUGUCCAGGUGGUUUAUUAUUUCCUUCCACUUAUAUUAAAUUCUACUAUUUAAAUGUUAUUGCUUCGCAAUUGUUAAUGAAUAUAAAAUGAGUAAAUUAUUCACCUAAUUGGCUUGCAUACCUUACACUAGUAGGCGUCAUCACGACUCCCGAAGGUAGGAAAUCGGAUCGUGACAAUAUGUUCUUUUAUGAAUUUCAAACUUACCCAUUGAAAAAGGUCUUGUUUUUUUGCUUAUAAUUUUGGAAUCUUGUAUCUCAUCUUAGAAUUUCCUUUCCAUCUUGCAUCUAAUAUUACUAAGCACACUUAAAAAUAUGGAAGGAGAUCUUUGUAUGUGAUUCUUAGAGAGAAAGUAUUUUAUUUAUUUGGAUUUUCAAUUUUUAUAUGUGCUUGACUAGUUUUGAAUUUUGAUAAGUCUAUCAUUAAUUGCUAGAGGUUGGUAAGUUGGGAUAUAUUUGGAAAUUUUUUGUAAGUUCCCAUCAUUUUAUUGUGAUUCAUGACUUGAACAUGUCAAAGUUGAGAAAAUGACAGAACUCAACGAAUAAUUUGUACACAAUUAUCUCUAAUUCAUUUCUUGUUAUAUCUAAUUGCGAAUUAGUCAAAUAUCCAUUUUUAUUGAGGAUAACUCCUACUAGACCAAGCUUAGUAAUUUGAAUACUCGGUGGUUAAAUAUGGCUGGUAGAAGCACCUUAUUAUUUUUCACAUUGAACACCAUUCCAAAUCACGUAAUACAAACAUCCCUCCACUAAUAAAUCAUUAAAAAUUAGAUAAAAUUCAAAGAGACUUCUUAUGGGGUAUUAUUGGGGAAAAAAAAGCUCCAAAUAAUUAAGUGGGAUAUAAUUAUUAGAACUAGGGCUCAAGGUGGUCUAGGAAUCAAAAAGGCCAAGUCAAAAAAUCUAACUCUUCUAACAAGCCUUGCUUGGCGUAUUAUGAAUAACCCUUCAUCCAUUUGUGCAAAAGUACUAGUUAGUAAUUACAGGAAGAGUUAACAUACUAAAUGUGUGUCUCAUACUUGGAUUAGUCUCCUAAAAGGUUAGUCCAUUUGCAACCAAGUCAUCAGGUGGGCAGUACACCAAAACUCCAAUACAAAUAUUUGGGAUACUUAUUGGAUUUCAAAUAUUACACACCUUAGGGGCAGUGUAAUUGGCCCUCUAACAACAUUUGAGAGAAAUUUAAAAAUCAAAGAUAUUUGGGACAAUGACUCUUGGGACUUGGAAAAAUUUUCCUUUUAACUCCCUUAACAUAUUAUCAAUAACAUCAAUUCUUCAACUCCCAACAAACAAGUUAGAUCUCCUAAUAACCUCAUAUGAAACAUAAAUCCCGGUGGUGUUUUUUUAGUUAACUCUUAUUACAAGUUAAUUGACAAAGAAUCCCCUCCAAACAGUAACUUUAAAUGGAUUUGGGAUUUAAAAUGCCCUAAUAAACUCAAGUUUUUCAUGUGGAAAUGCUACUAUAAUAGGCUUUCAAGUCGGGCAUAUCUCAGUAAAAUUGUCAUGAGCGCUAACCCUAAUUGCCUGAUACGCAAAAACACUAAUGAAACUAUAUGCCAUAUAUUCUUGGAAUGCCAAUUUGCGAAAUCGUUUUGGGAAAUAUUUGAUUGCAACGAUAUUCCUAUACCAAGCACAACACAUUAGGUCUAUAAGAUCAAGAAUACUAAUAUCAAUCGAAUAAAUAAACAUAUCACGUGGGAAGAUCUUUUUUCCUUUCACAUUAUGGGCCAUCUGGAGCAAUAGAAACCACAAUAAUCAAAACAAUACCAAUAUCCACAUUAGUAUUAAUAAGGUUAUUAAUCAAGCCGUUGAAUACAAAUUAUUAACGGCCACUCCUACCACUAACAAUCUUCAAAGGACCAUUAGCAUCAAAUGGCCGGCUCCUCUAAGGGCUGGUAUAAAAUAAAUAUUGAUGGUGCUUUUACAAGUAAUAGCUUACAUGGAGGAAUUAGUGGUGUAAUUCGAGAGAGCAAGGGAUAAUGGAGAAUAGGGUGUCACACCUCCAUUUUUACACACUUACCCCGAGAGAUAAAUGUAUAAGAGAGUUUUUUCACUUAAAGUGACAUUAUUCAAAAUGGAAUUAUUUAUUUAUUCAGAAUCUCCACUUGUGACAGGUUUGGCUUUUGGUGUCCCAAGUCACCGGUUUAUCUUGAAUCCCAGAUCGUGGAAAUUUCGACUUCCCGAGUGAAGUCUGCGAACCAGAAAUUCUUGAGUAAGGAAGUUAACCCGAUGGAAGGUGUUAGGCACCCUUGACUUCCUUGGUUCUAGUACGGUGGCUUAAACUAUGAUAAAUGGCUUAAUAUUUGACUUUAAAGCAUGUCAUCCCAUAGUGUAAUUUUAAAAUUAUUUACCGCUUUUGAUUAAAUUUUAAAGAAUGUGAACAUCGCUUAAAACAUGUUUUUGGAUCAUGUCACAUGAAAUGCACCCGGAUCUAAAACACAUUUUAUUCAACAUUUUGGGAUUUGGAUUUGGGUCACAUGAAAUGCGCACCCAAAUUUAGGAAGGUAAAAUUAUUCAAGAGCGUGCCUAAAGCAACUAGCGUGUUAUUAGCUGUACAGGAGGCCAUAAAUAUUUGCUACACAUCUACUUAAAUAGAACUAACUUAGCAAGUUCACCUCAUACUAUUCGAACAGCAUAUUAAACAACACUUCUACACCUCACAUCUACACAUUAUUCUAUUCUGCCUUAUUCGAAAUAAAUGUUCAAAGUCCAAGUAUACACCUCGAAGAAAAAACAUGCUAAAAUAACUGAAGCAAACAAACAAAAAUUGAGCAAAUAGCUUUUCAUUCCAUCUUCAGAUGCACUUUUACAUCUGGAAAAAUUAAAAUAUGUACCUGGAAAUUGAAUGCAAAAUAGAAGGAAGGGAGGUCAGCAACAAAUUUUAACACCAGCAGUGAAGAUAUAGCAAUCAAGCAGAAGAAACAAUUCAGUAGCCCAGAUUUAUACUCCAAAACCAAGUUGAAACACAACAGAUUUCAAAUGACCCACUUUCAAACCCAGGCUUGGAUAUAAAACAGUAAAACAAAACUCCAAUCGAGCUUAUAACACAACACUUCAAUCCUAAUUCAACUAUUUCUAUAUUAAUAGAUUCAAAAUUGUCUCAACAACUGAAUUGAUCAAAAGCUACUGAAAAUAAUGCAAUGGAACAGUAAAAUUGCUAGUGUUUUAGGAGAUUUUGAUACAAUUUUUUAGGCUUCAAACUCUGGGAAAAUUAUAGAGCUCCUUUUCAGAUUUUCUUCAACCCCCUUUUGAGUGAUUAUUAAUCCCCUUUUUAUAGCCAAAGGCUAGGGCAUCACUCCUAUUUUGUCUUAACUAAAGGUGCCUUUUCAACUUUCAGAUUUUACAUAUUUGGACCCUCAUUUUUUGACUUGCUUCCCAAGUUACUGCAAUAGUACUACUGAUUUUGUAUUGAAGACCCCUUCUAGAAGGGUCUAAAGGCUUCUAACAUUUUCUACCCUUUAUAGACUAUCUAUACUACCCUUAUUUUGUUCCUAAUAUUACAAAAACCAAGUUAAAACUAUAUAUUAUCCUUAUUUAUCCCAAAAUUAUCAAAACUAGGUAAGAAAACCCUAUACUACCCUAAGUUACUUAUUUGGUAUCAAAACUGACCCCUAAUAUCACUGAUUCUUCUAAUCUUAACAACUAUAACCAAUCCAAAAUCAAUCAAUCGUCAAAAGUCAAAGUAGAAAUCAAAUCCAAUACUCAGCUUGAGAAGAAGAAUCAUGGAAGGCUACCACUACCAAAAUUGAAUUCAUGAAUCACAAACCUGGUCAAACUAACCCCCUAGCCCUGUUAAUUGGGUCAAACACACAAUCUAACAAAUCAAAACUGGCCUUUAACUCUUAUUAACACUAUGCCCUAGGGUCAUAGUUCAACAAGAAACUAUCAAUUAAUAGCAACCUUGACGUAAUUGAAACUAAAAUUAAAUUAACAAUUAUAGAUUAUUUAAUCGAAAAAAACACACAAUUAAAUACAAACUAAAUCAUAUGACUGCAAUGUUAAAGAAUCAGAAGCCUAAAUCAAAGAACCCUAACUCACAUCAAAAUAAAAGAAGUACUAGAACAGAGAAGCAUGCAUUGAAACAUAUUUACUCAUGCGAAGAGAAAGAAAGACAAACAAAGAAAGAAAAAGAUUUAGAAGACUGGAACGGGUUGGGGAGGAAUCGGGCUGGUUGGAGGUAUGUUUCUUGGGCUGGUUAUUUUUAUUUAUGUCUGGCCCAGAUUCGAUCACAAUUAAGACCACAUUUCCAGACUCUCUUUUCCUCUUUUUUUUUCAAAUUAAAUUCUAAAAUCAAAAUUAACUUUGAAUAGAAUUAUUCUACCAAAUUAAUUAGUCUUAGAUGGUGAUGGUCACAAAUAAUUAAAUGUAAGGAAAAAAAAUUGCAACGACUCCAAAAUUAAAACUAUUUUAUUUUUGUGAUUUUGUACUUUUGUAAGCUCCUAAUUACUAAUUAACUCCUAAAAUAUAUAAAAUUACUCUAAAUGCAAUGCAUAUAUAUUUUUCGUUUUUGUAUGAACUAAAAAUGAACACACGAAUGUAAACAACCACAUAAUUUAUGCAAUUAAAAUCUAAAUAUUCAAAUAAUAAAAGUAAGGCGCAAAUAAACACAAAAUCACACAAUUAAUAAGGAAAAAUGCAGAUAAACAUGAAAUCACACAAUUAACCCCUUAAAAUUCAAAUAAUAAAAUAAAAAUGUAAAUAUGCGUAAUUAAUUCCUAAUAACACAAAAUCACAUAAUUAAUUCCUAAAAAUUCAAAUAAUAAAAGGAAAAAUACAAAUAAACACAAAAUCACAUAAUUAAUUCCUAAAAAAAUCAAAUAAUAAAAGGGAAAUCCUAGUUUAACGAAUUUGUAGAAACAUUUCAAGUGAGGCAAAAUUACGUGCUCACAUAUCCAAUUUCUAAAAAUUUUAUAAAAGUAAUUAAGAGGGCCACACAAUUUAUGGAUUUUGUUUGGCACGGCGCACCUCGUUUAUUUUAAGGCCAUCCUAAAAGGAACUAUUAUUCUCUAUUAAGUGCUGUCUCUAAAAGGCCUAAUUAAUUGACAUUGUUAAUUACUGUCAUUAAAAACAUUCAAGGAAUUCGGGCCUCAAGCUCAAGUUCACACUUGAACAAGAGCAAAAUCUCUUAAUUCAAAUAUGCUACUUAACUUGGAAGGCCCAAACUUAUAUUAUGUUAACUAUUUCUAGCCUGAAUUAAGCUCUCAGCCCUAUGGGCCUGGAAAUCAGUUCAAAAAUGAGGGAAUUCAAUAAGGUCUUGCACUGAUUAUACAACGGGCCUAUUAUUAAAGGAAUUGGACCUAAUAUAAGAAUUUCAAGUAUGAAGUUAACUACUAUUAUUUGGGCAUUGCAUUUGAAACCAGUGUGAAAAAACAAAGUCCAGUUAUGGGCUGGGCGCAUUUAGCAUUUUAAAUUCAGAGAUACUAAUUAUUCAACCAAGACGUAAAAAUAUUAAACACCAGUGAUGGAUGAUUUAAACUCGUAUUUAGUUAAUAAGCCAAUGUCCAGAUUCAUCUUCAAGUUCACUGGCCGCACGACUUGAAAUGUGGAAGAAGAAUUAUGUUGUUCAUUUGAAAUAAAACCUCUCAUACAAUGUAUACAAUAGAAUAUGAGCUAUGUGAAUUUCAUAGACUAGUAGACUAUAUAGCAUGAGAUUCACACGAAGCUAAUACAUUCCUAGGUUUAUACAACUCAAAAUUUCCAGCUCAUUCGAAUGACUUCUAACAUUAGGAUCAUAGGCAAAACCAUGGCUAACUUUUGAUUUCAAAUUAACACACUACUUUGGAUCAACAUAGUACUUCAGAACUUUUGAUUUCAAACUAAUACACAACAACAUAGACACCAAACACAAAAUAAUGUGAAUCUAAUACUUCUAAACACAAUGCUUAUAUAAUCAUAAGAAGGAAAUGGAAUCAGUUUUAAAGUUUUAUACAUUUCUAAGCAGUCCAGUUUUCAUCUACAAAUGAAAAUCUACUGAAAUUCUAAAACUCCUAGAAAUACAAUAGUGACAAUCAAUAAAGAAAUCUGGCAGCAUUUCCAAUGUUUAUUUCCAAACUUGAAAGCUACAUGGUGUGUACCUGGAAUUUUAAAAGGAAUAAAAGAGUGAAGAUCAAUGAAGCAAGGCAAUAGCAGAACUUUGAACCAGCAACAAAACAAGGCAGGAAAAGCUUCUUAAACAAGAGAAAUAGCGUUUAAAUCCCAGUAUCAAAACCAGUUGCAGAUCAGCAGUAGAAUCACCCUCAAAAUUGGAUUUCAAAGCUAAAUCCAAACCAUUUUCAACAUCGUUGAGAUCUAGAGGAGGAUUUUAGAGCUUGACAGGAAUUUUCAACUAUUUGUGUGUAUUUGUAUUUACUUUUUUUAGGAUUUUCAGUAGUUUUGGAUCUGGAUUUUGAAUUUUUGAUUUAUCUAGGCAAUAGGAUUUGAAAUUUUGAAUUUUGAAAUUGUUGGAUCUCUACUCAGUUUUUAAUCUCUCCCCCCAAAAACUUUUUGAAACAAGGCAGGGAUAUGCCUUUUUAUAGGCAAGACCUAGGGCAACCUUUAGAUUUCUGGUUUACCCAUAAGUCCCUCGUUUAUUAAUUGUUUGGUCCGUAAAAUCUUGCCUUAUUACUCAAGUUUUAUCACUUAAACCCUAAAUUUCAUAUUAAGAUCCCUUCUGGAAGAUUCUAGUGGGUUCUAAGUUAGUUACUGUAGGAUUCUUCAUGUAAACUACCCUAAUUACCUUUAAAGUGUCCUAUAUUUACCCCUGAAGCCUCCGAUGGGCCAAGGUUUGACUCAAUGGCCCAAAUCUGAUGUGGAUAGGCUGAAACUUAAGACAAAUGUGUUAAAAACCAUUCCAAAAUCCAAACAACUUUUUACCCAUAUCGGAAAACUAACACUCAAUAAAUCUUUGCAGGAAUAGCCUAACUAAAACUAAAUCAAUUGGCCCUAGACCCUUGAACUUGGUCACAGGUUUGACAAUGUUCAGCUACACCUAAACACCGUCUUUAGACUAAUCAAGUUAGUCUCACUAAACAACCUGAAAGUUAACUCUAAAUAAAACCAUGACUUAAGGCUAUUUUUAUCAUUUAAACUAAUCCCUUACUAACAGGAAAAUAGACGAACCAAACUAAUUAAACAUGCAGUUGUACCGUAACGAAAAAAAACAAAAAUAAACGACUAAAACCUAGAGAAAAUCACAUCAAACAUGAAAUCAAUUAAACUACAACCCCUAAAUCUAAAGAAAACCAGCGGCAAGCAUGAACAUAAUCAAAUCCAAAAUAGGAAUAAAACUAAUACUAUACGGCUGUAAUAUAUGCAAAAUCAGGAACCUAAACUAAAAAUUCUAAUUUACAAAAAAUAAAAGAUGCAAAGGGAUGAACAAAAGAAACAUGCAAAUAGAAAGAAAAAAAAAUACACAAAGAAAAUGGUCAGGACUCACUGUUUCUCGGUUGAAACUUGGAUUGGCUUUGAGUUUGAUCCUCAGCUAUUAUUAUAUGUUUAUUUUUCCAAAAUAAACACAUAAUAUUAACCGGGGAUCAAUCGAAUGCAUGAAAAUCCCGGCAAGGCAGAUUUCUCCAAAAUCGAACCUUAGAUUUAAAAUCUAAGGGAUUAUACCGAAGUUUGAGGGAUUUUGGUUUGGGAACAUGGCUGAGGAUGUUGAGGAGACCAUGGGGUACAAUUUUGGAAGGGUUUGGAGUAGGGUGAGUUUUGGCCGGAUUUUCAAAUUGAUAUUCGAGGAGUUUGGUACUGAUUCGAGGCGGGAGACUUAUAGAUCUGGGGUGAGGGUGGCUAGGGAGAAUCUAGGGUGUUAUCUUGGAGGCGAUUGGCAUCGGCGCCGCCGUGGGCGACGGAGCAGUCGUGAUUUCAAACCAAUAUUUGACAACACCGGUUGAUAUUCGGGGACACUGAUGGCAGGGAUGGAAAGAGGGGGUCGAGGAGGUGGGGUGGUGUUUUGGGAGUUAUCGAAGCAUCGCCGUCGGCGGAGGCGAUUACCGGCCAGCGGAGGACGGUAGAGGGUAGUGGUGUUACGCCGGCGUGUAUUAGGGUUUGGGAGAGAUGGUU
Molecule: long non-coding RNA, 35079 nt
Filed under: Nicotiana benthamiana
Lineage: Eukaryota; Viridiplantae; Streptophyta; Magnoliopsida; Solanales; Solanaceae
Description: long non-coding RNA (NBEN_LNC038145)
Source: RNAcentral